This is a non-coding RNA of Podarcis lilfordi (Lilford's wall lizard), 76 nucleotides long. The record is from the annotation of a GenBank genome assembly. Lineage: Eukaryota; Metazoa; Chordata; Lepidosauria; Squamata; Lacertidae.
GGGACUUAGGGGAGCAAUGGGUCAUUGUGUCUGGCUGUUAACCAGAUGGUUGGUGGUUCAAGCCCAUCCAGCGAUG